Long non-coding RNA from Papaver somniferum (opium poppy), 1505 nucleotides. RefSeq lists it as uncharacterized. The transcript has 7 exons. Lineage: Eukaryota; Viridiplantae; Streptophyta; Magnoliopsida; Ranunculales; Papaveraceae. The record is from RefSeq and is a predicted model, not a curated record.
CUCUUUUUCUCCUCCUUCCUCUAUUCUAUUCCCUCUCAACUGUGUAAGGUUAAUCAUCUGAUCUUUGAAGAACUUUGUAACGUUAAUCGAGUUUAGGAUUUCGGUCUGUGGUUCGUCAGAUCUGGAGCUUUGAUUAACUGAUUUUGAAUCUCAUCUUAGAAGUGAAGAACAGCAUCGAAAAAAAAAAGAGGUUCAUCAACCAAUUCCAACAAUUGGGAGGAAGAGGUAUUACAGAGAAUGGAUAUAUCAAAGUGAAGUCAGUGAAGUAAAGAAGUUACAAGGGAACAUGAGAUGUUUUAGAAAUCAGUAAGAAGAGGGAACAUGAGAUGUUUUCUGUAACGGAAUUUGAAAAUCAGUAUUAAGUUGGAUUUCGGUGGUUGCCGGUGUCUGUAAUAAGACAAGAAGUAGCUGCUGGGAAGGAAUUUGAUGGUGGACAACUGGGUGAUUGUGGAAUAUUCAAUGGGUUCCGGUUUCAUGGAUUUGGUCAUCAUCUCUGUGUUAAGUAAGUUUGCACUGUAAGGGAUGUUGAUCAUUUGUGGUUGGUUCAUCUUGCAAACUUGAAGAGGGAGACUGUGUUGACGCCACUUGGUUGAGGAGCUCUCUGACCAGUUUUUCGCCACCAUCUGCAUAACCACUUCACCUGCAUACAUCAUCACAGUGACCACCAGUCUCCAUCAUCAACUUUCAUUCACCACCACCAUCACAGCAGGGCAAAGAAACAAAAGAAUUGAAGAAAGCAGCUGAUGCACUCCGCCAAAAGGAGAAAAACGGUGCUAAGGGGAGAAAAUGGCGCCAAAAUGUCAAGGCUGUUGAAAAGAGAUUGUUCCCUUUUCAUGACACUUGAUUCCUGUUCAUGCUGCAAAUUGGAUCUUCAUACUUGAUCUUAUGAAUGCAUCAUGUGAUCUCAGAUGGUAUUAACUGCUGGUGCAACCCCUGCAGUUGAGAUUCUUAGUUUCUGCCUGGCUGAUACUGGAAAUGCAUUCCUUGUGCCUUCACCGUAUUACCCGGGGUUUGACAGGGAUAUAAAAUAUCCAUCUUUUUUGUCCCGUUUCGAGAACUAAAUUCUUUCUUUCCUUGAAGCUUCAGUAACUUAUUUUGUUGUCUUUACAUCUAGUAUCUUUCUUGCACUUUUUCACUACACUUUUUUUGAAAUAAUAAGUAUAAUGAUUAUUCAUAUUGAUGACAGUGGUAUAUGUACUAGACAUUUCUCCACUUUUUCCUUUAGUGGUUUCAUUCGUGCCGAGGUAAUUGUUGUCAUUGUGCUGUUAAUUCUAAUUGAGUUACUCUUCAUUAAGCUUUGGGCUUGUGUAGGAAAUGAAGGCCUGUACCAUGCUUAAAAAAUGGCUGUUGGACUUUCAGAGAAAUAUAUAUCCUAUGUUUUUACUUGGUUUUGUUGUUGUUGCUGCUGUUAACUUGUUAGUUUGGCUAAGAAAGUGUUUGUGGACUGUUUUUCAUUGAGCAAUUUGCAAUCCUUGCACCAGUUGGACGUAAAUUUUUUUCUCUUU